Molecule: ribosomal RNA, 930 nt
Filed under: Escherichia coli
Lineage: Bacteria; Pseudomonadati; Pseudomonadota; Gammaproteobacteria; Enterobacterales; Enterobacteriaceae
Description: partial 23S ribosomal RNA
Rfam family: Bacterial large subunit ribosomal RNA
Source: RNAcentral
GAAAUCAACCGAGAUUCCCCCAGUAGCGGCGAGCGAACGGGGAGCAGCCCAGAGCCUGAAUCAGUAUGUGUGUUAGUGGAAGCGUCUGGAAAGGCGCGCGAUACAGGGUGACAGCCCCGUACACAAAAAUGCACAUAUUGUGAGCUCGAUGAGUAGGGCGGGACACGUGGUAUCCUGUCUGAAUAUGGGGGGACCAUCCUCCAAGGCUAAAUACUCCUGACUGACCGAUAGUGAACCAGUACCGUGAGGGAAAGGCGAAAAGAACCCCGGCGAGGGGAGUGAAAAAGAACCUGAAACCGUGUACGUACAAGCAGUGGGAGCACGCUUAGGCGUGUGACUGCGUACCUUUUGUAUAAUGGGUCAGCGACUUAUAUUCUGUAGCAAGGUUAACCGAAUAGGGGAGCCGAAGGGAAACCGAGUCUUAACUGGGCGUUAAGUUGCAGGGUAUAGACCCGAAACCCGGUGAUCUAGCCAUGGGCAGGUUGAAGGUUGGGUAACACUAACUGGAGGACCGAACCGACUAAUGUUGAAAAAUUAGCGGAUGACUUGUGGCUGGGGGUGAAAGGCCAAUCAAACCGGGAGAUAGCUGGUUCUCCCCGAAAGCUAUUUAGGUAGCGCCUCGUGAAUUCAUCUCCGGGGGUAGAGCACUGUUUCGGCAAGGGGGUCAUCCCGACUUACCAACCCGAUGCAAACUGCGAAUACCGGAGAAUGUUAUCACGGGAGACACACGGCGGGUGCUAACGUCCGUCGUGAAGAGGGAAACAACCCAGACCGCCAGCUAAGGUCCCAAAGUCAUGGUUAAGUGGGAAACGAUGUGGGAAGGCCCAGACAGCCAGGAUGUUGGCUUAGAAGCAGCCAUCAUUUAAAGAAAGCGUAAUAGCUCACUGGUCGAGUCGGCCUGCGCGGAAGAUGUAACGGGGCUAAACCAUG